UUUUCGUACUCCUCUUCCUUCCCUCUUAUUCCUCCUCCCCCUCAUCAUCUAUCUAUCUCCUCUUCCUCUUCUCCUCCCUUCUCCUUCUCCUCCUUCCCCAUCAUCAUCAUCAUCAUCCUUAUUAUACUGUUCUUAAAGCCUCGCUAUGCAGUAAAUAUCAACCUCACGAAAACUGUACAUAAUAACUCCUGCAAUACGGUGCAAUAUCCCCUUGCAACAAACCUCGAAGCGUGCAAUAAUAGGUGAUGCAGAGGAGGCUUCAGAAGGCCUAUGAAAAUGAGGCCUAAUCAAGGAUUCCCUUAUGAUGAGUGCCACUUAAACCCCGGUCACGCCUUGGGAGAACCGGAGCCUGCGAACCCCUGGCCGGAGAGUCGAACCGCAGGAAGUGGCAGCUGGUUUUGGGAAUUGCUCUCCUCACUCGCGGCGAAAGCGGAACCGGUUUCGAGGGACACGGCCGCGUGGACAACCCGAACCGUUUUGUGGAACCGAGGGUUUUAGACCAACCAGAACGGUGUCUAGGAGGCUAGGAGUAAUAUAUCAACCAGAAAUUAUUUCGUGGAACCAGGGUUUAUGGACCAACCAGGAGCUAUUUGUUGGACCAGGUUUAUAUGUCAACCGGAACCGAUUUUUGUGGAACCAUCAUUUAUGUAUCAUCAAGAACCGAUUUGUGGAACCAAAGAUUCUAGACUAAGUAGAACUGACUGUAUGGAAUCAGGGUUUAUUUAUCAACCAGAACCGAUUUUGUGGAACCAAAGAGAUAGCGGUUCAACAAGACUUACGGCCCACCAAAACUGAUUUUAAGGACCCACAUUUUCAAAACGAAGAGAACCGAUCUCAAGGAACCGGGCGCUCUAGAACCCCACCUUAAGCCAAGGGAAGCCUUCUUACUGAACCGUUUGUGUAUGGAACCAGGCUUGACAGAACAAGCAAGAACCAAAAUUAAAACCGAUUUUAAAAAAAAAAUUGUUGGAAUGUAAGUUUCCUGCAUUUUGAUAAAAAAAGGUAUAUAGAUAAAUAAAUAAAUCGUGUAGUUUAAAUGUCAUUUGUUCCUAGAACCUGGAUUUAAAAAAUGCGAAUUUUAAGAAGACAAAAUGUUGAAACAAAAUAAGACAAGAAAAUAUACAAAAAGAAAGGAAACACGCGGGUUAUUUAGAAAAGACGAUUCAUUUUGCUUUUGCUCCGUAAAUAGAUAUAUUCCACACAUUUAUGUCCUCUGUGGAUUUAGAUAUAAAAAAUAUUAUGUAUCUUACUCACUAAUUUGCUUUAUUUAUACAGACUAAAUGAUAAGAACUUCUAAUGGUAAUUAAUAUCUAUUUAAUAUUUACAGAACUGUAAGUAUAAUUGAUAUGAAUGUGUAAGUAACAAUUUAGAACGAUAACAAAGCAACCAUUAUAAAAAAAAAAUAAAAAAAAUAGACAUAUUGAUAAUGAUAAUGACAAUAAAAACGGCAAAUUUGAA
This is a long non-coding RNA of Penaeus chinensis, 1458 nucleotides long. RefSeq lists it as uncharacterized. The transcript is spliced from 2 exons. NCBI's taxonomy places the organism in Eukaryota, Metazoa, Arthropoda, Malacostraca, Decapoda, Penaeidae. The record is from RefSeq and is a predicted model, not a curated record.